UCUUGUAAGUGGAGCAGCAUAUGCACAUCUCAUCUUCAUGAGAGAGGCAGUGUGUACACUUCUCAUAGCACGAGAGGCAACAUUUGCCUGGCUCAUCUUGUGAGUAGAACAGUAUGUGCAUAUCUCAUCUUCAUGCGAGAGACAAAGUGUGCCCAUAGGUAGUGUGUGCACUUCUCAUUGAGUAGAGUAGCUUGUGCUUAGCUCAUCUUAUGAGUGAACCAGUAUGUGC
This 229-nucleotide long non-coding RNA is filed under the name Elaeis guineensis (African oil palm). Its description in RNAcentral is "long non-coding RNA (EGUI_LNC046187)". The record is from RNAcentral. Lineage: Eukaryota; Viridiplantae; Streptophyta; Magnoliopsida; Arecales; Arecaceae.